RNAcentral lists this ribosomal RNA (478 nucleotides) under uncultured bacterium. RNAcentral's name for it is "partial 16S ribosomal RNA". It matches the Rfam family "Bacterial small subunit ribosomal RNA", at positions 28 to 507 of the family's 1533-position model. The record is from RNAcentral.
GAUGAACGCUGGCGGCGUGCUUAACACAUGCAAGUCGAACGAGAAAUGGAGACGGAAACCUUCGGGCGGAAGGCUUCAUUUCGAGUGGCGGACGGGUGAGUAACGCGUGGGUAACCUGCCUCAUACAGGGGGAUAACAGUUGGAAACGACUGUUAAUACCGCAUAAGACCACAGCACCGCAUGGUGCGGGGGUAAAAACUCCGGUGGUAUGAGAUGGACCCGCGUUCGAUUAGCCAGUUGGCGGGGUAACGGCCCACCAAAGCGACGAUCGAUAGCCGAUCUGAGAGGAUGGCCGGACACAUUGGGACUGGGACACGGCCCAAAAUCCUACGGGAGGCAGCAGUGGGGAAUAUUGCACAAUGGGGGAAACCCUGAUGCAGCGACGCCGCGUGAGUGAAGAAGUACUUCGGUAUGUAAAGCUCUAUCAGCAGGGAAGAAAAUGACGGUACCUGAGUAAGAAGCCCCGGCUAACUACGUG